Long non-coding RNA from Seriola dumerili (greater amberjack), 218 nucleotides. RefSeq lists it as uncharacterized. The transcript has 3 exons. The record is from RefSeq and is a predicted model, not a curated record. Lineage: Eukaryota; Metazoa; Chordata; Actinopteri; Carangiformes; Carangidae.
CUGAGCCAGUACAGAUGCAAUACCGCCUCCACCUGUCUCACCAAUGGCAGAGUCAAGACACUGGCUAGGACCAGAAUUCCAGUCUAAUCACCAAUGAUGGACCGGCACCUGCCUUUUCCUCUGCAUUUGGCCUCAUCAGUUAUCAACCACAUUAUAUCAACAUCUUGAGGGUUGGCAGAAUCCUCCUCAGGCUGGAACCAUACCUUUGCAGCCCCCCG